UGGGGAAUCUUGGACAAUGGGGGAAACCCUGAUCCAGCGACGCCGCGUGUGUGAAGAAGGCCUGCGGGUUGUAAAGCUCUUUCGGCGGGGACGAAAUGGUUCGUGCCAAUACCACGGACUGAUGACGGUACCUGAAGAAGAAGCACCGGCUAACUACGUGCCAGCAGCCGCGGUAAUACGUAGGGUGCAGGCGUUAAUCGGAAUUACUGGGCGUAAAGCGUGCGCAGGCGGUUUGUUAAGACAGAUGUGAAAUCCCCGGGCUUAACCUGGGAACUGCGUUUGUAACUGGCAGACUGGAGUGUGGCAGAGGGGGGUGGAAUUCCAAGUGCAGCAGUGAAAUGCGUAGAUAUUUGGAGGAACACCGAUGGCGAAGGCAGCCCCCUGGGCUAACACUGACGCUCAUGCACGAAAGCGUGGGGAGCAAACAGGAUUAGAUACCCCCGUAGUCCCUGAGCGGGCUGGCAAGGCGCAU
RNAcentral lists this ribosomal RNA (472 nucleotides) under uncultured bacterium. RNAcentral describes it as "bacterial SSU rRNA". It matches the Rfam family "Bacterial small subunit ribosomal RNA", at positions 355 to 825 of the family's 1533-position model. The record is from RNAcentral.